GCCCCAAUUGGGGGUGUUGGUGCCUGCGCUUUGCCGCGUGGGUGAAAAGGGAAUGUGAUGCCCGCAAAGGCAAGCACAGCCGCCCCCGCGACCGUGACCGGAAAGGUUGCCCAUUGCCACUGGCCGAAAGGUGCGGGAAGGCGGGGCGACCGACAGUUUUUCCCCUGUGUUUGGGGGGCGCUGAUAUCCGCAAGCCGGGAGACCUGCCAACGCGUAAGACGUUUU
Molecule: non-coding RNA, 225 nt
Filed under: Pseudorhodobacter antarcticus
Lineage: Bacteria; Pseudomonadati; Pseudomonadota; Alphaproteobacteria; Rhodobacterales; Paracoccaceae
Source: RNAcentral